GCGUCCGUGGUGUGGUGGUCUGCAUAUCGGAUUGUGGUUCCGAUGGUCCUCGGUUCGAUUCCGGGCGGGCGCC
Molecule: transfer RNA, 73 nt
Filed under: Thermomonospora cellulosilytica
Lineage: Bacteria; Bacillati; Actinomycetota; Actinomycetes; Streptosporangiales; Thermomonosporaceae
Rfam family: tRNA
About the family: Transfer RNA (tRNA) molecules are approximately 80 nucleotides in length. Their secondary structure includes four short double-helical elements and three loops (D, anti-codon, and T loops).
Source: Rfam by way of RNAcentral